Molecule: unclassified non-coding RNA, 1039 nt
Filed under: Hevea brasiliensis (rubber tree)
Lineage: Eukaryota; Viridiplantae; Streptophyta; Magnoliopsida; Malpighiales; Euphorbiaceae
Source: RNAcentral
AAAUUAAAGUGGGUAGGACCAAUCAAAAGGGUGGAAGUAAUUCUACUAAUGUCUCCCACAAACUGAAUGUGGAAAUUGUGGCUGAACAACCAGACGAAAUUGAUAUCUGUCGGGUUAAUCUUAGACAUGCAAAGGACCAAAUUUCUCAUGAUGAUGCGGGUUUGGAUGAAAAUUCUGAAGCAGCAACGUUGGAGAUUGGGAAGCAGUUGGGUUUGACGAAUUCUAAAUCAGAUGAGGCAAUGUAGUUAUUUUUCUUAAAUCACAUUAAAUCUGAUUAGUUUUGUCUCUUUAAUGCUAGCAAUUUGAUUUUCUCUCUUUGUCAUUGGGUGUCGUUGGGUCCUUUUUUUCUAUUUUGAUUCUCUAGUUGUUGCUGGUCUCUAGUGUUUUUUUGUAUUAUUGAAGCAUCUGACAUGGAGUCGCCCUUCUGAUUGCACGUUGACUGUUAGCUGUUGAUUUUGGGUGUUGUGGCAAGUGCUGGAACUGGCUUAAUGGAAUGUGUUGUGGAUUUUUUUUUUUUCCUCAAUGGUGAGUGGUGAUUCUUUUCCUCAAGUUUCCUCAAUUUUAUUUACUCUAUUUCUUCUUUGUUGGGAUAUGUCUGUUGGAAUAUCCAGUUCUGAUUUGAGGCAAGCUUGAAUGUUUCUGCGCAUUUUCACUCAUGUUCUCUGGUUUUUAGAGCCUUAAGGAGUUCUGUUGGUUGAUUGUCCUCAUGCUUUGUGGGUUCCAGUUCUCUUCGCGAAGUGUUCUUGCUUCUUGCUGGUUCAAUUGUUCAAGGUCCAGUGUAAUUUUUUUUUUCUCAGGAGAAUCACAUCUUGGCUGUUGUUUUUGUGGGCUAAGCCAACUUGUUUUCUUGAGGAAGUUAAGAUACAUCUACCGUGUCUUUCAGUUUUGGUGUUGAGUUUUGUUACCUUUGCUGUUAUCUUGUCAUUGAUUACUUGGUCUUUCUCUUUGACCAGUGUGUGCUUUGUUUUGACUUUUUAUCUCAUUUUGUUUUGUUGCUAGCUCAUGCUUGCUAUGUGUACUUUUAUUAUUAUUAUUAUUA